Molecule: ribosomal RNA, 301 nt
Filed under: uncultured bacterium
Lineage: Bacteria
Description: partial 16S ribosomal RNA
Rfam family: Bacterial small subunit ribosomal RNA
Source: RNAcentral
CAGUCGCCGCGGGAAAACGAAGGGGGCUAGCGUUGCUCGGAAUGACUGGGCGUGAAGGGCGCGUAGGCGGCUUGCACAGUCAGAUGUGAAAUUCCUGGGCUUAACCUGGGGGCUGCAUUUGAUACGUGUGGGCUAGAGUGUGAAAGAGGGUCGUGGAAUUCCCAGUGUAGAGGUGAAAUUCGUAGAUAUUGGGAAGAACACCGGUGGCGAAGGCGGCGACCUGGUUCAUGACUGACGCUGAGGCGCGAAAGCGUGGGGAGCAAACAGGAUUAGAUACCCCCGUAGUCCCUGUCUCUUAUAC